RNAcentral lists this unclassified non-coding RNA (2893 nucleotides) under Leishmania donovani. RNAcentral describes it as "gene:LdHU3.28.3920(CDS-product:Uncharacterized_AC R_COG1678_putative)". Lineage: Eukaryota; Euglenozoa; Kinetoplastea; Trypanosomatida; Trypanosomatidae. The record is from RNAcentral.
CUGUUGCCACCUCUGCCUCAGUUUGUGUUUGUCACAGUUGCACGAUAUUGCUUCACUGCACAGUCCAUCUCUUUCCUGGGUUAUCUGAUUGCCGCUUGAGUCAACACCCGCAGACGCCUCUGUGGCUGUCCGUCUUUCUGCGUCCUGGGAAAGUGAAGAAGGGUGUGUUCUCCACGGGGUGGCAGUAGCACCGGCAGCAGGAUUUGCAGCCAUCGUUGCGAGCAGAGCGCUGCUUGCAUUUGUACUCUCCCCCCCCCACUCUCUGCAUAUAUAUCCUGGGCAUUGGGCAGUGACUAGCCAGAGCACAGGCUUCUCUCGCGCGUCCGCACAACCGCAUCGCUCUUGUGCGUGCUGUUGACUCGCUGGACCACGUCGUGGGACCAUCCGCAGCCAUCUCCUUCUUUUCCUUGCUUCUCUCUGUUUCCGUCUCGUGUGCGCAUCUGUUUACUGCCCUUGCGUAAUCAUCUGCCGCGUAGCCGCCGUUCGUACGGAGCACCUCGCCAUCAUGCUCACGCGUAGCUGCCUACUUCGGGUCGCGACAACAAGCACGAAACCCACCACCAAGGACAUUGCGAAACGACCUGCCACUGCAUCUUCCGUCCCGGCCGUCUCGCCCGCUGUAGUGCGCUCCCUCUACCGCAGUCUCUACCGCGAAGUCAGCCGCCUUGACAAGGAGCCGGUGCUGAAGGUACUGUUCCCAUGCAACAACGAGCUGCAAGCGGUGCUUGGCGUCUCUGGCCCGCUGCACGUCCCGGGCCGCCAGCGGUACACAGAUGUGCUGCGCAACGUCUUCAGAGAUGCCACGCGCGUCCCGAAGAUCAACUUGGCCUUUGACACCCUCAAUCGGCUGCGUGCCCACUACGAUAAUGUCAAAGACAAGCUGCCGACGAUGGACAAGGACCGCGCACGCCUGCUCGCAUCUCUGCGAAGCCCCGCUGUGGCAGAGCGGAGAAAGAGCUUCUUUCGCGCGCAGCCUAUCAGGCCAACCCCAGGGGCAGGCCCCAGGUACGUUCAGGCUGCUCCAGGCGUGCCGACCCGCGUGGUGCUGCGCGAAGCCCGUCAUAGUCUUGACCUUAGUGAAGGUACGCUGCUGCUGGCUCACCCGCUCUCAUCGGCUCACGUGGACCGGCGCGUGAUGCUGAUCACGGAGUGUACCCCUAUUCUGACGAGCGCCCUUGUGCUGGACCUGCAGUUCACAUACCCGCUGUCUCGCGGCAACUCUAUGUUCCCGGAGGUCUUCUGGGGCCAUGACGUAUAUGAUGGCGGCUUCAGCCAGAUCGGCUUCACAAUGCCGCCGACGGCUCAGAUUGCGGUGCUGCACACGCUGGAGUCCCGUGAUACCAUCACACGCCGCAGCGAGUCGCCCUUGGGUGAGUCGUCGGUGAUGAGCUGGCUGAAGUGGAAGGGCCCACCAAGCACCAGCGGCGCCGGCGUCAGCCAUGCAGCAUCCACGUCUGCGGCAAGCUGCUCGCCUGAAGCCUCCCAAAAGCAUGGGCUAUUUUGCCGCCCACUCAUCCGUGGCGGGGUGCUGGACGACGGCGCUCGUGAGCCUACGCUCUACCUCUCCAAAGCCGAGGCUCUCCCAUACCUCGCGGAGCUCGUCGAGGGGCAGCCGCGGUCCUCGCUGCGCGUUUACUGGGGGAACAUGCGCUGGACGACGAGCCAGCUCGAGGCGGAGGUGGCGAAUGGGCAUUGGAUGGCAGUGAAGACGUCGCCCAGCUUCUUCCGCGCGUACGCUCUGUCCGCCACGAGCGACGAUGCUGCCGAGCGCUUCCCAACGGCGGCGCAGCUCGCGGAGGCGAAGCAGCUGCGGGAGAAGCGCUACGGGGCAGAUAUCACCCCUCCGCAAGUGUUCCCGCCAGACCAGAUCAUGCGCCGUCGCGAGUGUCUUUGGGACCAGAUUAUGUUCGCCUUGGGCGGGGAGUACGCAGCACUGGUGGGGUGCUCCAACCCGUUCUCCGACAGCCCACGGUGGUCGUCGCUGCAAAUUUUGGCACCGCAUAUGUCACCGCUCCCCCUCUCCACUGAGGCGGCCGAAACGGCCGCAGCGGCAGAAGCGGCAGAAGCGGGCGUCGUUGCCGCUGCCGAUGAGGCAAUGUCCAGCGAAGUUGUCCUCGACGAGGACGCAGACGAGGGCGAUGACCACGACGGCGAGGAUGAGCUUGACGAAACCGUCUUCUUGCCCGGCAGUCCUAAUAUUCUGGAGCGCAAAACGGCUGAUGCAGAACCUCAGCGAGAGGGCGACAUGGAUGAGGCACCCUCAGCACCGCUGCCGGCCAAGAAGAGUAACGGCAAACGCAAGGACGGCGACGACGGCGCCUCGUAAGCGCACGUCUUCCUGCCUGUGUGGAUGUGUUUCAUGUGUGCGUGUGCGUAAGUAUUCCCGAGGGACGAUGAUAUCUUUCACUUAUUCUGCAUACCCCAACACCCAGUGAGACAGAGUGAAACCAGACACGAUACGCGUGCGGCGUGUACACGGACACACUGGGCGCUCGCUUCCUUGCGACUGAGACGCCUCGCUGAUGUCUCACGACUCGGGAGACGGACUGGGGAGGACGACGCGGCCUGCAGCUGUGCUACAUUGCGCACGUGUAUGCAUGAGCGUUUGUGCAUGCGCCUUCUUUGCCGCACGCCAUCACCGUCCGUCUGUCCGUCUGAGCAUCACCGCUGCGUCGGUUUACACGGGCGGCACCCCUCAUGCGCGAGCAAGCUAAACGCGCACACAUUCACUCAUGUGCUCACAAGGAUACACGUCUCUGCCACCCUUCCCGUAGGUGACGCCCGCCAAGGCCGUCACCUAUAUCGUGGGAGACGAAGAUCACUGUUGUGCUCCCUGUGCCCCUUCGUCCGACCCCCUCCCUCCCACCCUCAUGUAUUUGGGUGCAUCUCGCAG